GACUGCAGAUCCGGAAAUCAAACUUAUAAUGUGUCAACUCUCGAGAGAGAAAAAAAAUCACAUGCUUCCGGUUCUUCUUCUUCCUUUUAAACCACAAACCACCUUCUGGUGUAUUGUUGUGAUUGGAUUUUAACAGCAAUGGAAGACAAAGUCAAAAUCUAAGUUUACAAUAUACAGAAGUAUAACAAUGGCACUAUACCGGUAACAGGAGAAUGGCGUUAAGUAAAGUGUUUACUCCAAGUGACAGAACAAGAUUUGCGAGACUUGCAUUGAUCAUAGUGGAAGAGCUGACGCCUAUUUUACGAGACGUGUUAGAAAAGGAAAUUUCUCCUCGCGUUAUAUUCAAUACAGUCAAAGCAAAUACACCAUUGUUUAGACUCAUUCGAAAAGAUCAACUUCUUAUUAUCCAGAAUGCCCAUACUGAUGGAUACAGAGACUUUCACAUUACAUUGCUUUAUACAUUGAUACGUAUUCUUUGUCCCAAUAUUCCAUCUCCCACACAAGUAUGGGGGAUCACAGAAAUGCCAUCUCAG
Molecule: long non-coding RNA, 533 nt
Organism: Saccostrea cuccullata (small rock oyster)
Lineage: Eukaryota; Metazoa; Mollusca; Bivalvia; Ostreida; Ostreidae
Exons: 3
Source: RefSeq, a predicted model, not a curated record